GAAAAGUCCAAAGGAAAAGAAGACCCCGGAAAGGAAGAUAAAGAAUCGAAGGAUCGGAGAGGAAAGAAAGACGAAGGACGUGUAGAAAGGAAUUUAGGAGAAAGGAAAGAAAUGAGACGGACCUCGUCAUCACGGCAUCGUUUAAACUUCUCAUUCAGACAGCAGGUCAAAGCGAGGGUGACGGUCAAAGUGCAUGCUGUCAGUCUCGUCAGAGUGGCAGCGGGAGUCGCAUGACUCGCACAGUUGAAGAGGACUCUUAUUAUUCAGAUCCUGGCAGUCGGGAUGAUGGCACACCUGAACACAAACACAUAAAGGAAUUAUAUUUAAAGACUCUAGAGGAGAGGUCAGUAGAAUCUGCAGUGGGGGAAGGGGGGGGGGGUGAGAAAAAGUAUCUGAAGUAUGACAGUUUCAGCUACGAGAUGCUCUGAUCAUGUGAUGUUCUGUCCUCACGUCCCAUGUAAAGGGUAUCACUCGAGUCUAGCUAUGUUUAUCUACGAGGCGACUGCUAGCAGAAGAGUUAGAGGACAGCUUUGUGCUGAGCUACAGCAUUAAGGAGUGCACCGUGAAGCAAAAAGUAAA
Ictalurus furcatus (blue catfish) is the source of this 579-nucleotide long non-coding RNA. RefSeq lists it as uncharacterized. Lineage: Eukaryota; Metazoa; Chordata; Actinopteri; Siluriformes; Ictaluridae. The transcript is spliced from 3 exons. The record is from RefSeq and is a predicted model, not a curated record.